RNAcentral lists this long non-coding RNA (334 nucleotides) under Physcomitrium patens. Its description in RNAcentral is "long non-coding RNA (PPAT_LNC000123)". The record is from RNAcentral. Lineage: Eukaryota; Viridiplantae; Streptophyta; Bryopsida; Funariales; Funariaceae.
GAUACCUCAACAUCAUUGAAAGAAAAAACAAAGGAGACAAAAGAUAAGCGCAAAUCAAUUGCUUAUAAGCUACUUUCUGACAUCCAGGUCUUACUACUGGACUCUUAACCAAUAUUCGAGGUAACUGAAUAUUAAUAAAAGUCCCCUUUCUUUAUAUUUUCACGGUAUACUCGUGUUACAAUACGACAUCCACCCCCUCUGAACUUGUGCAUCCUCCGGUAUGUACCAAUUUAUCCAAUUGCUAUUUGAUUUAGAAUAUAUCCUCUACGUCUUUAUCCAGUUCGUCUUCGUCACCUUCAUUAUCCAAAUCACUUUCAUCUUCUUGCUGCAGAAU